GUAUAUUGGGCAGACUAAUCACAGCGAGCAGCUUGUGUAUGGCAGUUAUAUGUAUAGAAAAUAACACUCUUCUGUUUAUUCUGUGGACAAAUCUGAAUGAAAGUGUUUCACAUAAUCUUACAAAAUGUCGAUGUCCAAAUCCAAAAUAAUCAAUAUUUCUUAACUGACGAGGGUACCUGUUUGUGACGUCACAGAAGUUUAGCCAGCAGCCUUUGAACUCGGAAGUAUUGACAAGAUCAUGACGGAUUAGUGUAUUAACGAGGACCAUCCCCGGUCUAUUAUCUGACAAAUACCCGUUAGAAAGCCUCACCUUUAUUUACACCACCGACCGUGCUUGAGAUGAACAGGCACUGCUGUUAACAAUCGUAAUAUAGUUACUAGGCUGUAUAUAGUAGUAUACAGACUAUAUAUAGAAACACACAAGUCAACGCUGGGUCAAACCGGACUGGACAUCGCUUGGGGCAGACGGAUGUUGUUGGGGCAAGUUGCCGUGUAUUUUUGUUUAUAAUUUGGGCUUUUGGUACCUCUUACAUGUACGUCAUUUCUAUGAUGUGAGUGAAUAAAAUGAAAAUGAAAUUUACAAGAAACCCUUCGUGACGCUUUAUUAAUAAGUUCAUGUUUCUAAGUAGUUAUGAACUACUUAGUAUCUUGGGAAUUUUAAGUGUCAGCGUUGAAAAUAGGAUUGUUGCAGUGAUUAACGCAAUAAAUAAACAAGAAAAAUUGAAAUGCCGGAAUUAAUUUCUUUUAAUGGCAUUUAGAGAAACAAAUAUCUCGUGACGAUGUACCUGCAAAUGAUUCAUUGUUAUAAUUAUCACCACAACUAGUCAACAAUUAUAGUAAUGAGAAUACCAAACCCUCCGAUGUGUAACCCGGAAGUUGUUAACUCCAAGAUUGAACAAAUUCUUAGCUGUUGCGUGAUUGGUCAAAUUGAUGGGUGAAAUUAUUUGGAAUUGAAGGAAAUAUUACAAAAGUUUGCAUGAAUUGUCCGGAUGAGAAAUUAUUGCAUAAAAUCCAAAAAGAACAAAAAACGGCUGAGAAAAUUACUAUAGUAGGGAUAUAUUUGAAAUGAAGGGUGCAAUACGCAAGUUUCGAGAUGUGUACGAGUUAUUUCCCUUUUGGGGAUCUCUCGUACAUACUUAGGCGCGAAAAAAAAAAUUAUGCGGGGUGGGACAAAUGCUCAUCACUGCAGAAGUGUACAGUGUAUAUACAUGUACAUUGUAAGUUUCUCAUAUGACGUUUUCAUCACCCAAAUUCAAAUGAAACACAAAACAAGUAAAUGAGAAGUAUUCAGGGAGUCGAUAAACACUUGAAUUGUUUAUUAUAUCACGUUAUUUCAUUGCUCAUAUAUAUCAUGUCUAGGUUGUUAGCAGCAAAUACAACAUUGUUUUUAUGUUUUCGUUUUAGGAAAUAUUUCUUUUGAUGGUAUUUUAUAUUUCUAAUAUUUACAUCUUUAAAUAGAAGUAGCAUUUCAUUAUCCUACGGCCGAUCUAUUUGUGGUGGUAUUAGAAAGUGCGCAUGGGGAAAUCAGAAUUUUUUCUAGCUCACCUGAGCUGAAACCUCAAAUGACCUUUUCUGAUCGCCUGUUCUCCGUCGUCUGUCUGUCUAUAAACUUUUUACAUUUUCGACUUCUUCUACAGAACUACUGAGCCAAUUUCAACCAAACCUGGCAAAAAGCAUCCUUGGGUGAAUGGCUUUCAAGUUUGUUCAAAUGAAGAGCCAUGCCAGAUUCAAAGAGAAGAUAAUCACCAAAAUGCAAAAAUAAGGAGAGGGCUACAACUCCUUAGGAUCUCCGUAUUGGUGCAAAUGCGGGAGUGAUUCACUCCCGCAACAUUUGCGCUCAUUCUAAACAUUUCCUGACUUUCUUUACGUAAAUAAAAUGAUAUUCUAUGUUUCUUAGUCAAUAUAUAAAUUUACAACCUGCAACUUAAGAUUUGUGAGGCUCUAUUCUACCGUUUUCAACAAUUUCGAUAAAUUCCAAUUUCUCGAUUCAUAUUUGUGCGCCAUGUUUGAUGUACUGAAGUUUCAACUUCCGAUUGUCAAGUCAUUUGCAUAUGCCAUAUAAGGUAGUAUUUACAUCAAUGGAAAAGUAUGGAGGCGAAAGCUAUUUCGUCGGUAUUGAAAAGGUUUGAAUUUAAUAUCAAGUUAAAAACCGAACAGCAGAGUGUAAAUUCUUUCUGCAACAAUAUGAUUUUCCUUUCUUUGUCGAAGUGGCUCGAGUAACUACAUUUUCGCGCUGAUUGUCAAUGCUUAGGUUUUUCAUUAGAUCCACCUACGAGAUCUCGCGAUAACAAGCAUGGCGAAGCAGACGAAGAAUUUUGCAUGCUGUACAUUGUAUUUAAUGAAAAACACC
Molecule: long non-coding RNA, 2350 nt
Organism: Ostrea edulis (European flat oyster)
Lineage: Eukaryota; Metazoa; Mollusca; Bivalvia; Ostreida; Ostreidae
Exons: 2
Source: RefSeq, a predicted model, not a curated record